AACGAACGCUGGCGGCAGGCCUAACACAUGCAAGUCGAGCGGACCCUUCGGGGUUAGCGGCGGACGGGUGAGUAACGCGUGGGAAUAUGCCCUUCUCUACGGAAUAGUCCUGGGAAACUGGGGGUAAUACCGUAUACGCCCUUUGGGAGAAAGAUUUAUCGGGGAAGGAUUAGCCCGCGUUGGAUUAGGUAGUUGGUGGGGUAAUGGCCUACCAAGCCGACGAUCCAUAGCUGGUUUGAGAGGAUGAUCAGCCACACUGGGACUGAGACACGGCCCAGACUCCUACGGGAGGCAGCAGUGGGGAAUCUUAGACAAUGGGGGCAACCCUGAUCUAGCCAUGCCGCGUGAGUGAUGAAGGCCUUAGGGUUGUAAAGCUCUUUCAGCUGGGAAGAUAAUGACGGUACCAGCAGAAGAAGCCCCGGCUAACUCCGUG
RNAcentral lists this ribosomal RNA (433 nucleotides) under uncultured bacterium. RNAcentral's name for it is "partial 16S ribosomal RNA". It matches the Rfam family "Bacterial small subunit ribosomal RNA", at positions 29 to 507 of the family's 1533-position model. The record is from RNAcentral.